AUUGAAGGGGGCUGCUCCUAGUACGAGAGGACCGGAGUGGACGAACCUCUGGUGUUCGGGUUGUGUCGCCAGACGCAUUGCCCGGUAGCUAAGUUCGGAAUCGAUAACCGCUGAAAGCAUCUAAGCGGGAAGCGAGCCCUGAGAUGAGUCUUCCCUGAUACUUUAAGUAUCCUAAAGGGUUGUUCGAGACUAGAACGUUGAUAGGCAGGGUGUGUAAGCGCUGUGAGGCGUUGAGCUAACCUGUACUAAUUGCCCGUGAGGCUUAACCAUACAACACCCAAAGGGUUUUG
Molecule: ribosomal RNA, 290 nt
Filed under: Vibrio vulnificus
Lineage: Bacteria; Pseudomonadati; Pseudomonadota; Gammaproteobacteria; Vibrionales; Vibrionaceae
Description: partial 23S ribosomal RNA
Rfam family: Bacterial large subunit ribosomal RNA
Source: RNAcentral